GAAAUGCGAUAAGUAAUGUGAAUUGCAGAAUUCCGUGAAUCAUCGAAUCUUUGAACGCACAUUGCGCCCUCUGGUAUUCCGGAGGGCAUGCCUGUUCGAGCGUCAUUUCAACCCUCAAGCUCUGCUUGGUAUUGGGUCCGCGCCGGUGCCAGCUCUGGCCCGGCGGGUCCUAAAGUCAGUGGCGGCGCCGUCCCGGCUCCACGCGCAGUAGUCUUCUCUCGCGUCCGGAGGCCCGAGGCGGUUGCCGGCCAGGCGAACCCCCACAUCUUUCUCAGGUUGACCUCGGAUCAGGUAGGGAUACCCGCUGAACUUAA
RNAcentral lists this unclassified non-coding RNA (314 nucleotides) under uncultured Ascomycota. Its description in RNAcentral is "sequence contains ITS1". The stretch from base 1 to 105 matches the Rfam family "5.8S ribosomal RNA", at positions 50 to 154 of the family's 154-position model. The record is from RNAcentral. Lineage: Eukaryota; Fungi; Ascomycota.